This is a long non-coding RNA of Paramormyrops kingsleyae, 849 nucleotides long. RefSeq lists it as uncharacterized. The record is from RefSeq and is a predicted model, not a curated record. NCBI's taxonomy places the organism in Eukaryota, Metazoa, Chordata, Actinopteri, Osteoglossiformes, Mormyridae.
UUUCCUUCCCAACCUUGGCUGGUGAGACAAGGAGGGUGAUUUUUUUUUCUUCACUUAGUCCCGGGUGCAAAAACUAGGAUAGAAUAGCAUCUCUUAAUUUUGCAGUAAUCUGACUCUUCCUGUAUGCCCUAUAAUUAGUCUUCUUUACAUUUCUGGGUAAAACUACUUCCUGUGAUGACAUUCGAUGUAUAUAAACAAUGGCGCAGUCCAAGAUCAAGAGUUUCUGGGAACUCAAAACAGAAACAGCUUUACCUUAAUUUUUAUGAAUUUCAAACCCUUGAGGAUCAAAGAAAUGACAGCUCGACUGGGAGUAGAUGUCUGUGCUCAGGAGCCAAAAAGCAUCCCAGAUGAGAGAAGCACCAAGGUGCCUGACUGUACGAUGCCCCCCUCCUGGUGUCUGCUAGAAAGCUGAAGAUGAAGAGGAUUUUCACCUUUAAUUGACCUAAUACCAUCAACUAUGACCCUAUGAAUACAUCCAAAUCAAUUAAACAAUGGCUUCACCAGAAGAAAAGGAAUGUUUUGGAAUGACCCAGCCAGAGCCCAGACCUAAAUCCAAUUAAAUAUCUGUGGGGUUACCUGAAGGAGGCUGUGCACAAGAGAUGCCCUCGCAAUCUGGAGCAAUUUUUUGCAAGGAAGAGUAGGCAAAUAUUGCCAAGUCAAGAUGUGACAUGCUGAUAGCCUCCUACCCAAAAAGACUGAAUGCUAUAAUUAAAUCAAAAGGUGCUUCAACAAAGUAUUUGUUUAGACCCUUAACCCUUGCAUACUUAUUCAACUUAGUGUACGUUUUUUCUUUUAUUAUAUUGUCCCCCAAAAGAUAUGUUUUUCCAAUUGUACAGGUUAUAGGUCACA